AGAGACCGGCGCACGGGUGCGUAACGCGUAUGCAAUCUACCUUUCACAAAGGGAUAGCCCAGAGAAAUUUGGAUUAAUACCUUAUAGUAUAUAGUUGUGGCAUCACAAUUUUAUUAAAGAUUUAUCGGUGAAAGAUGAGCAUGCGUCCCAUUAGCUAGAUGGUAAGGUAACGGCUUACCAUGGCAACGAUGGGUAGGGGUCCUGAGAGGGAGAUCCCCCACACUGGUACUGAGACACGGACCAGACUCCUACGGGAGGCAGCAGUGAGGAAUAUUGGACAAUGGGCGCAAGCCUGAUCCAGCCAUGCCGCGUGCAGGAUGAAGCAUCUAUGGUGUGUAAACUGCUUUUAUACGGGAAGAAACCCCGGGACGUGUCCCGGACUGACGGUACCGUAAGAAUAAGGACCGGCUAACUCCGUGCCAGCAGCCGCGGUAAUACGGAGGGUCCAAGCGUUAUCCGGAAUCAUUGGGUUUAAAGGGUCCGUAGGCGGCCCGAUAAGUCAGUGGUGAAAUCUCCCGGCUCAACCGGGAA
Molecule: ribosomal RNA, 531 nt
Filed under: uncultured Flavobacterium sp.
Lineage: Bacteria; Pseudomonadati; Bacteroidota; Flavobacteriia; Flavobacteriales; Flavobacteriaceae
Description: bacterial SSU rRNA
Rfam family: Bacterial small subunit ribosomal RNA
Source: RNAcentral